UAAACAACCUGCCUUCAGGAUGGGGACAGCAGACGGAAACGACUGCUAAUACCGAAUAAGUUCCAAGGGCCGCAUGGCCCAUGGAAGAAAAGGUGGCCUCUACCUGUAAGCUAUCGCCUGAAGAGGGGUUUGCGUCUGAUUAGCUGGUUGGAGGGGUAACGGCCCACCAAGGCGACGAUCAGUAGCCGGUCUGAGAGGAUGAACGGCCACACUGGAACUGAGACACGGUCCAG
Molecule: ribosomal RNA, 233 nt
Filed under: uncultured bacterium
Lineage: Bacteria
Description: partial 16S ribosomal RNA
Rfam family: Bacterial small subunit ribosomal RNA
Source: RNAcentral